Non-coding RNA from Prunus avium (sweet cherry), 1548 nucleotides. The record is from RefSeq and is a predicted model, not a curated record. NCBI's taxonomy places the organism in Eukaryota, Viridiplantae, Streptophyta, Magnoliopsida, Rosales, Rosaceae.
GCACAUGCUUUAUUUUCUGAUUUCCUCUCCUUCUCCUUUUGCUUCUUCUUCUUCUUCUUCUUCUUCUUCAAGAACCAAACCCGUGGGUACUGUUCAGCAAUCCGGAAGUCAGUUUUCGGAAGCUCUGAUCAGAAAACUUCCUUCAUGAGAGUUGUUCAUCUGCUUGAGAACUAAAGUCUGUGAAAUUUUGAGAAUUUUCUGAAUUUUCCUGAUGCCUCAAAACGGGUUUGCAGCUUCUGUGUUCAUCAAUGGCUGCUAGAGGGCUUGUAGGUGCUGGAAACUCGUGGAGCUUAACAAACAACCACUACUACUUCAGAAAUUUGGGUAUUUGGGCUUUUCUAGUUCUCAAUAAGGAAUUCUUCCCACCGAAUGACCUUAUGUAUCUGUCUCGCUUGACAUGUUGCUUUGAAUUUUGAGAAUUGAGCACCUCCUUUAUCCUGGCAUUGAGUGCUGAUCUGGAUAUUUCUGAAGUAUGAUUUUGAGCAAUAUUGUUGUGACAGCGUGAAGUUGAAUGGUAUUGUUGCAAGAGCAUGAAUUCUUCAAUUUGCUCGAAAGGCAUCAAUUGUUUGGAAUAUCUCAAUGAAAUGUAAUUGCUUGGCAUGCGGAUUGGUAUUAUGCCAUGUGAAUUUGCUAUGAACUUGAUAGCAUGAAGGUGAAUGUUGGUUGCUAGCACCUUGGCUUGACUGGGAAAAUUUAUGCUUCCGGCGCCUCCCUUUGUUUAUGAGUAUUUUUUUUUUCGGCGCCUGAUUUUGGCUAACGUAUUCUCUUGUCCAGAAGAAAGCAUGAGAAGUCUCAUUCGCUUGGAGUUUGGUAGCAUGAAAGUGAGUUUUGGUUGCUUGCAACUUGUCUGGGAAAAUUAUGAAGGAUUUGAACUGCUUGACCAAGGGAGACUUUGGGGUGAGACAACUUUUAGUUUCUUGAUACCCAGAAGCCUUGCAUUUUAAUGUGGGCAAGGCAUGUUGUAAAUCUUCCGGUGUUUGAGACAGAGGACGAGAUGGUUGUUGAGGUUGCCUUGAAUGUUUUUAGAGAUGUAAUGAGCUUGUUGGGAUGUUGUAAGGAUGGUUUGAGUUUUGCUUGGGUUUGUAUCACCAGAACACUCUGUGGUAGAAAUUGUGGAGGCUGUGGAGGUUAUGAAGCUCAUAAGGAUGUUUAAAAUAGGCAGGUGCUUGAAGAAUGUUUAAAAUAGGCGGGUGCUGGAAGUGGUAAUGGAAGAUUGUAGCUUUGUUUGACAUGAUAUAGCCUGGAUGUGCAGCCGGCAGCAAGUAAGUGCAGCCGGUCCAAGGAUGUGCAGCCGGCAGCAAGGAUGUACAGCCGGACCAAGGAUGUGCAGCCGGCAGCAAGUAAGUGCAGCCGACCCAAGAAUGUGCAGCCGGCAGCAAGUAAGUGCAGCCGGUCCAAGGAUGUGCAGCUGGCAGCGAUCUUAGCAAAUAUAAAUAGCCAUUUGUAUCUCCUUUCUUAUCACCUUAGCAGCCAUUUCUAUUACCCUUCUAUCACCUAUGUAUCACCUGUUUAUCAUCACUGUAUCACCUAUUUAUCACAUGUUUGUCA